Molecule: ribosomal RNA, 496 nt
Filed under: uncultured bacterium
Lineage: Bacteria
Description: partial 16S ribosomal RNA
Rfam family: Bacterial small subunit ribosomal RNA
Source: RNAcentral
AUGAACGCUGGCGGCGUGCCUAAUACAUGCAAGUCGAGCGAACAGACGAGGAGCUUGCUCCUCUGACGUUAGCGGCGGACGGGUGAGUAACACGUGGAUAACCUACCUAUAAGACUGGGAUAACUUCGGGAAACCGGAGCUAAUACCGGAUAAUAUAUUGAACCGCAUGAUUCAAUAGUGAAAGACGGUUUUGCUGUCACUUAUAGAUGGAUCCGCGCCGCAUUAGCUAGUUGGUAAGGUAACGGCUUACCAAGGCAACGAUGCGUAGCCGACCUGAGAGGGUGAUCGGCCACACUGGAACUGAGACACGGUCCAGACUCCUACGGGAGGCAGCAGUAGGGAAUCUUCCGCAAUGGGCGAAAGCCUGACGGAGCAACGCCGCGUGAGUGAUGAAGGUCUUCGGAUCGUAAAACUCUGUUAUUAGGGAAGAACAAAUGUGUAAGUAACUAUGCACGUCUUGACGGUACCUAAUCAGAAAGCCACGGCUAACUACGUG